Molecule: ribosomal RNA, 425 nt
Filed under: uncultured bacterium
Lineage: Bacteria
Description: partial 16S ribosomal RNA
Rfam family: Bacterial small subunit ribosomal RNA
Source: RNAcentral
GUGGGGAAUCUUGCGCAAUGGGCGAAAGCCUGACGCAGCCAUGCCGCGUGAAUGAUGAAGGUCUUAGGAUUGUAAAAUUCUUUCACCGGGGACGAUAAUGACGGUACCCGGAGAAGAAGCCCCGGCUAACUUCGUGCCAGCAGCCGCGGUAAUACGAAGGGGGCUAGCGUUGCUCGGAAUUACUGGGCGUAAAGGGCGCGUAGGCGGACAGCUUAGUCAGAGGUGAAAGCCCAGGGCUCAACCUUGGAAUUGCCUUUGAUCCUGGCUGUCUUGAGUUUGGGAGAGGUGAGUGGAACUCCGAGUGUAGAGGUGAAAUUCGUAGAUAUUCGGAAGAACACCAGUGGCGAAGGCGACUCACUGGCCCAAUACUGACGCUGAGGCGCGAAAGCGUGGGGAGCAAACAGGAUUAGAAACCCUGGUAGUCC